GCGGGCGUAGCAAUACGUCAGCGGCAGACGGGUGAGUAACGCGUGGGAACAUACCUUUUGGUUCGGAACAACACAGGGAAACUUAUGCUAAUACCGAAUGUGCCCUUCGGGGGAAAGAUUUAUCGCCUUUAGAGCGGCCCGCGUCUGAUUAGCUAGUUGGUGAGGUAAAGGCUCACCAAGGCUACGAUCAGUAUCUGGUCUGAGAGGAUGACCAGCCACAUUGGGACUGAGACACGGCCCAAACUCCUACGGGAGGCAGCAGUGGGGAAUCUUGCGCAAUGGGCGAAAGCCUGACGCAGCCAUACCGCGUGGAUGAUGAAGGUCUUAGGAUUGUAAAAUCCUUUCACCGGUGAAGAUAAUGACUGUAGCCGGAGAAGAAGCCCCGGCUAACUUCGUGCCAGCAGCCGCGGUAAUAC
This 416-nucleotide ribosomal RNA is filed under the name uncultured Alphaproteobacteria bacterium. RNAcentral describes it as "bacterial SSU rRNA". It matches the Rfam family "Bacterial small subunit ribosomal RNA", at positions 66 to 526 of the family's 1533-position model. Lineage: Bacteria; Pseudomonadati; Pseudomonadota; Alphaproteobacteria. The record is from RNAcentral.